CCUACGGGAGGCAGCAGUGAGGAAUAUUGGUCAAUGGACGCAAGUCUGAACCAGCCAUGCCGCGUGCAGGAAGACGGCUCUAUGAGUUGUAAACUGCUUUUGUACGAGGGUAAACGCAGAUACGCGUAUCUGUCUGAAAGUAUCGUACGAAUAAGGAUCGGCUAACUCCGUGCCAGCAGCCGCGGUAAUACGGAGGAUCCAAGCGUUAUCCGGAUUUAUUGGGUUUAAAGGGUGCGUAGGCGGAUUGAUAAGUUAGAGGUGAAAUGUCCGAGCUUAACUCGGGAACUGCCUCUAAUACUGUUGAUCUAGAGAGUAGAUGCGGUAGGCGGAAUGUAUGGUGUAGCGGUGAAAUGCUUAGAUAUCACGAAGAACUCCGAUUGCGAAGGCAGCUUACUAAACUGCCACUGACAUUGAUGCUCGAAAGUGUGGGUAUCAAACAGGAUUAGAUACCCCAGUAGUC
This 460-nucleotide ribosomal RNA is filed under the name uncultured bacterium. Its description in RNAcentral is "partial 16S ribosomal RNA". It matches the Rfam family "Bacterial small subunit ribosomal RNA", at positions 338 to 795 of the family's 1533-position model. The record is from RNAcentral.